Lactuca sativa (garden lettuce) is the source of this 560-nucleotide non-coding RNA. Lineage: Eukaryota; Viridiplantae; Streptophyta; Magnoliopsida; Asterales; Asteraceae. The record is from RefSeq and is a predicted model, not a curated record.
UCUUAUCAUUUAAUUAUUUUCAAUCGAUUAAUCAUAUGUCUUUGAUACUUUUUUUUUUGCAUGUUUUAAAUCUUUUUACUUAUUUGUAUUGAAAUUAUGCAUGGAGUGAUCAAGUUAUGGAUGAAAUCAUGAUAGUUGUUCCAAGGCUACUUUUGCUUUAUGUUCUUGCUUUAUGUUCGAUGAUUAAAUUUGUUUACUUGGAAUUCAUACUUUUUUUUCAUCUAUUAAUUAUGUAUUUGAUAUAUUUUUUUUGCAUGUUUUAAAUCUAUCUAGAUUUUUUACAUAUUUGUUUAGCAUUUGGAAUUGAAGGAAAGGUCCACAUGUUCGCUACAUUUUGAUAUGUUGUGGGUAGUAGAAGAUGAUGGGGUUGAACGAAGAAAAGCAAAGUAGAUUGAAGAUGUGUUAACUAGAUAAAAUGGUCAAGGACAAGGAACACGUAUAGUUUGGCUCUUAAUUGUUUAAGAAUUUUGAUUUGAAUUGUUUUGAAUGUUAGACUAGGUAGUCUCAUGGAAGAAAGUCAUGUAUUUUUUUUUUACUUUAAGAAUUUUAAUUUGAAUGAA